Molecule: long non-coding RNA, 1061 nt
Filed under: Capsicum annuum
Lineage: Eukaryota; Viridiplantae; Streptophyta; Magnoliopsida; Solanales; Solanaceae
Description: long non-coding RNA (CANN_LNC018844)
Source: RNAcentral
GGGGCCACCACAUAUACAAAUAUAACGUUACUAUAUAAACUUCCAUGACUUUACCCUUCCUUAUGUCUACAAAGCCUCUAGGAUAUACAUGACAUAACUAGGGUCGGGAUAAACCCCCGCCCACACAUGACUCAUGUACAAUAACAAAACAUAAGGAACCGACUCAGAAAGCUCCGAAGCAAACUGGAGCUCACCAACAAUAGUUGUAUGACCUGGCUCCUACUUGUGCGGUGUAUGAGCUGAGGUACCUGUGCCUGCAGCAUGAAAUGCAGGUCCCCCGUGAGGGACGUCAGUACGAAAUAUGUACUGAGUAUGUAAAGCUGUAAAUAAUCACAUAUGAUAUAGGAGCUCAAUAGAAAUCAGAAACAAGUGAAUAAGUCGUAAUAGGAGUGGACCACACUUACUAGAACUUGUGACAACCUGUACAUUGUAUUUAUUCAAUCACUUUACCUUCGUUCUUAUCGUCUUUGUAAUCAUUACUGUACUGUACUGUGACCAUUAGGAUGCCUCCAGUACAUAUCAACUGGGAUCGACCCAUGCUAGGCUUAUGCCCCUGGGAUACCACCCAUAAACACAUGAAAUAGGGAUCGACCCAUGCUAGGCUUAUGCCCCUGGGAUACCACCCGAUAAGAGAGAACUUUCAUCACUUAGUUCAAUUAAUCUUUGAGAUUGUUAUUUCGGUCGCCACCACAUUUUUGAUACUUUGAAACAAUGAUACAUCAAUAGGAACCAAGUAAUAGACCUUCUAUACAAUAACGAUGUAAUAAAGACUCAUUGGUACAUCAACAAUGUGUUUCAGAAUCAUCAAUAUCACAACAAUGAAAUAAGAGCCUUUUGGUAUAUCAAUGAAACAUUUUGACACUUUAUAGAAUGGAAACAACUUCGUUGGUAACGUAGAACAAUACAUGUUUUUGGACAACCUCGGAAUCUUACUUGAUGGAACAUUGGUGUUUUCAUGCCAAAGAACAUUGUUAGAGUAUGCUUUACAUACCUCGUUGUAGAUUCAGAUACCAAUUCAACACAACUUCCCGCCUUUACAAAUCACUUAUCUACAAUGAAAU